RNAcentral lists this unclassified non-coding RNA (321 nucleotides) under Hevea brasiliensis (rubber tree). The record is from RNAcentral. Lineage: Eukaryota; Viridiplantae; Streptophyta; Magnoliopsida; Malpighiales; Euphorbiaceae.
GGCUACAACUAUUAAUCAUUCAUGCAUAGCAAAUAAAGAGUCACUUCUACAAUUUAUUCCAUCCUACAAAUGGUUGCAAAUUAGCCUUUGCUCAAGUGUCUGAAGAGACGGACUACCAGAAAAACCUUUCAAAUAGAUAGAUGUAUGAAGAUUAGAUAGCAAUAUUUGGAAUUGACAAAAUUUUAAAAACAUUGUUUUCCAAGGAGGCGCUCGGGAUGGAGCCUCAGGCAGUGAAAGGCGCUCGACCUUACUAAGAAGCAGCGAGGCGCAAGACGUGCCUAGGCGAUUCCAAGCGAGUAUAUAAGAAAAAGUAGGGUUUUU